UUAAGCGUACACGGUGGAUGCCCUGGCAGUCAGAGGCGAUGAAGGGCGUGCUAAUCUGCGAUAAGCGCCGGUAAGGUGAUAUGAACCGUUAUAACCGGCGAUACCCGAAUGGGGAAACCCAGUGUGACUCGUCACACUAUCAUUAACUGAAUCCAUAGGUUAAUGAGGCGAACCGGGGGAACUGAAACAUCUAAGUACCCCGAGGAAAAGAAAUCAACCGAGAUUCCCCCAGUAGCGGCGAGCGAACGGGGAGGA
Molecule: ribosomal RNA, 255 nt
Filed under: Salmonella enterica subsp. enterica serovar Kentucky
Lineage: Bacteria; Pseudomonadati; Pseudomonadota; Gammaproteobacteria; Enterobacterales; Enterobacteriaceae
Description: partial 23S ribosomal RNA
Rfam family: Bacterial large subunit ribosomal RNA
Source: RNAcentral